UACGUAGGGUGCAAGCGUUGUCCGGAAUUAUUGGGCGUAAAGAGCUCGUAGGCGGUCUGUCACGUCGGCUGUGAAAACUCGGGCUCAACCCCGAGCCUGCAGUCGAUACGGGCAGACUAGAGUCCGGCAGGGGAGACUGGAAUUCCUGGUGUAGCGGUGAAAUGCGCAGACUAUCAGGAGGAACACCGGUGGCGAAGGCGGGUCUCUGGGCCGGUAACUGACGGCUAAGGCGCGAAAGCGUGGGAGCGAACAGG
This 254-nucleotide ribosomal RNA is filed under the name uncultured bacterium. RNAcentral's name for it is "partial 16S ribosomal RNA". It matches the Rfam family "Bacterial small subunit ribosomal RNA", at positions 524 to 776 of the family's 1533-position model. The record is from RNAcentral.